Molecule: small nuclear RNA, 124 nt
Filed under: Catagonus wagneri (Chacoan peccary)
Lineage: Eukaryota; Metazoa; Chordata; Mammalia; Artiodactyla; Tayassuidae
Description: U11 spliceosomal RNA (ENSCWAG00000012560.1)
Rfam family: U11 spliceosomal RNA
Source: Rfam by way of RNAcentral
CAUUAGGGCUUCUGUUGUGUGUUGCACAAGUAGGGCAGCUUGCUUGAUCUUUUUGUGGAAGAGGUUUAGGAAGCAUCAUUUUUUGGUACUUGGGCAGCUGGCAAUCACUGGUGGUGGUGCCCUG